Coregonus clupeaformis (lake whitefish) is the source of this 700-nucleotide long non-coding RNA. RefSeq lists it as uncharacterized. The record is from RefSeq and is a predicted model, not a curated record. Lineage: Eukaryota; Metazoa; Chordata; Actinopteri; Salmoniformes; Salmonidae. The transcript is spliced from 4 exons.
GCCGGGACAUUGACGGUGGAGGAAGGUCCAUGAGUUUUCGCUGUUCGCCGGUAAUGCAAGUGCGUACUGCUCAAGUGUGUGGUUGUGAGAUCAUCUCGAAAUCCUUUUAACAGUUCAGGAACAACGUGAUGUAAAUAUGAGACGGGCCCUCGUCCUUCGUGCACUUCCUGUGUACCUGCGUGAAGAUGCCUCCAAGUUUUUCAGGACCUGUAAUUCAGCAGAUGGUCCAGACCUCACUGACACUCCGGUGGCUCUCCUGACAGUUGUCACUGAUGAUACUACUGAUGCGGCCCUCUUCAGCCCUGAGAGCAUCUGUAUUGUCGUGGAAGAUGAAAUACUUGUGAGUGGUCCCACAAACCUGGCUGACUCAUUUAUCCUGCUCUUUGGGUAUGUCUAUGCACUAGACCUACAGUACCCAAAGAAUCUCGAGCUUACAUUCACAUUUAUCCAAAAAGUUGUGAUGUGUCUUGAGGACAACAAACCACUGAAAGGGCGUCUACUGACACUGAAGAAUGAUUUGUUCAAUGAGUGAAUCACUCAGAAUGGACUAUUUGUUGAGCUGAGUAUUGAGGAUGUUUUUUGUUUUUUUUCCCCUCUUUACAAAUGUAAUAAUUUGCCUCUUCUACCUCAUGUUUAAUAUGUUACACUGUUUGCCUCUUCUACCUCAGAUUUAAUACAUUGAUUGUUAAUAGAUAAAUAU